UACGGAGGGUGCGAGCGUUGUCCGGAAUCACUGGGCGUAAAGGGCGCGUAGGCGGCCUGAUAAGUAGGGGGUGAAAUCCUGCGGCUUAACCGCAGGGCUGCCUUCUAAACUGUCAGGCUUGAGCACAGUAGAGGCAGGUGGAAUUCCCGGUGUAGCGGUGGAAUGCGUAGAGAUCGGGAAGAACAUCCGUGGCGAAGGCGGCCUGCUGGGCUGUUGCUGACGCUGAGGCGCGACAGCGUGGGGAGCAAACAGG
Molecule: ribosomal RNA, 253 nt
Filed under: uncultured bacterium
Lineage: Bacteria
Description: partial 16S ribosomal RNA
Rfam family: Bacterial small subunit ribosomal RNA
Source: RNAcentral